UUUUUAGUGGAAGUAUGUCUCAUGUAUUAUUUGGGACAUACUUAUACUAAAA
Molecule: microRNA precursor, 52 nt
Filed under: Ailuropoda melanoleuca (giant panda)
Lineage: Eukaryota; Metazoa; Chordata; Mammalia; Carnivora; Ursidae
Description: mir-1302 microRNA precursor family
Rfam family: mir-1302 microRNA precursor family
Source: Rfam by way of RNAcentral